This is a non-coding RNA of Silurus meridionalis, 839 nucleotides long. The record is from the annotation of a RefSeq genome assembly. NCBI's taxonomy places the organism in Eukaryota, Metazoa, Chordata, Actinopteri, Siluriformes, Siluridae.
CACACACACACACACACACACACACACUUUGCAUUAGCAGCUCAUGCUUCAGUGCUCUGAGAGACUUUAUAGCUCUGUGACUUUAACACUUCAUGACUGAAAGCUGCUGCUCAGCGACUUCACCCACAGCAACCAUGAGUUUGAUCAUCAUUUUCAUCUGCACACUGGCCCUCUGCACUCGAGGAUCCAGAGCUCAGACUGUGACUCAGAGUCCUGCAGUAAAAUCUGUUUCUCCAGGAGGCACGCUCACCAUCAGCUGUAAAACCAGUGUUGAAGUUUAUUCUAACUGUUUCUUCUGGUACCAGCAGAAACCUGGAGAAGCUCCUAAACUCUUGAUUAAAUAUAUUAGCACUAGAGAAUCAGGAAUUCCAGAUCGUUUCAGUGGCAGUGGAUCUGGAUCUGAUUUCACUCUGACCAUCAGUAGAGUCCAGACUGACGAUGCCGCAGAUUAUUACUGUAUGUAUGUACCUAAUGUCAGUGGCUGGAUGUUCACACAGUGUUUUAUCACCGUACAAAAACCUCAGUGAGUGUGACUGCUGCAGCUGGGACCUUCUGCAGGUGCUGAGGGGGAUUUACAGUACAAUGACUCCCUCUAGACUGAGUCUUGCAGCUACAAUCUAGCAGCAGCAUGGCUGCUCUAAAUGAUUGGUGUAACACAUACAGGAGAUCUAAGGCCUAACAAAGACAGAAAUGUUACAGGACUUUUCUGUAAAUGUUUUUAACAUGGAUGCAUGUAAGUGGAAAAAUCCAGGUUGUGAAUCAUUCAUCACGCUGAAAACAACCGGGCAUGAAAAAACACACUUCACCUGUGUUCUGAGCUGCACGGCAUCGGGAGAAAA